Molecule: long non-coding RNA, 3009 nt
Organism: Cavia porcellus (domestic guinea pig)
Lineage: Eukaryota; Metazoa; Chordata; Mammalia; Rodentia; Caviidae
Exons: 6
Source: RefSeq, a predicted model, not a curated record
UGGGCGUGCUGAGGCUAAUCCAGCAGGCAGGCGGGGAAUCGUGCGCCUUCCUGGAUGUCUUGGCUCUCACUCUGGGAUGUGCGCGAACCACCUGGAGACCCAGCAGAAGCACAGAUGCCUCAGGCCUGGCGCGGAGCUCAGGCUGCAUUUCUCAGGGCAGCAAGUCUGGGGCCAGACUUUGAGGGGCAAGACACUGGCCCCAUCCCAGCCUCUGGUCCAAGCCCAAGUAGCUCCCUAUAGUAAGCCCAGCACACACAUCCUGAACUUCAGGAGCCCCUGGCAUCAGCAGGGCCCAGAGACCCCCUGAAACUACACGCAGCUCUGUAUGUUUCUCCCGCAGCAUGGGUCCAAAGCUCACUAUCAGAUUCUAAAAGAAAUUAUGGGGAAAGGGGGCUCACUUCAGAACGGCAGCAGCCAGGCUCAGGGGAAUGGGGCACCGCUGCCGUCCCGCCUUGAUCCCCGCUGGAACAUAGAAGAUUUUAAUGUCGAAAACUGCUUUUAAUGAAGUUCUUUAAAAAUCAAAAGGCCCCACAGUUCCUUCUCCACUGUCACUCUCCGGACGGUCGGCAGACUUUAUCUGCCAGCACUUUAAAAAGAAAAAAAAAAGAAGGAAAAGAAAGAUAUUGCCGCUAAAGAAGAAGCCAAGGCCCCCGGAAUCUUAACAAGACAGCUCUGUUUCUUAUCAUCUUCAAAAAGCCUUUAUUAAGCCUCUCUGGGCUCAUGUGGCUGAGCAAGGGCACAAGGCCAUCUCCGUACCCAGGAGAAGCCUGGCACUCAGGAAUGUCCACACAACAGAUUGCAGACAGACCCCAGUCACCAGAAAGGAAUGAGAUGUGUGCCGCCGGUUGCAUGGGUCAUGCAGAUGGAAGCCAGAGAGUGAUGGCAUCCCGGGUUCAAGACCAGGUCCCUCCUCCUGCCUGCAGAUCAAUGGAUGCGUGACUUUGGAUCCAUACCCUGGUUGCAUGGUCAGACUCCCACAGUGAGCCUGGGAGAUGUGGUUCUGUACACUGCAGGCCACGCGCCCUCCUGAAAUCAGAGGCUUUGUCGUGAAGGAGGAAGACAUCAAGCAGCUCUCCUGUGGUUCAUUUGUAAACAAGGGGUGAUGAUAUUUAUGUCCUUGGCACAGAGUACAGGGUCAGCGAAGAAGGACCAGUCCUGUUAAAGUCCGGGCUCCUUCCCUUUGCCCCGAGAUGUCCACAGCACCCUCCCCAGGAGCACUGUCUGAGUUACUUUCCCAUCUCUGGGACACAACACCCAACAUCCACAAGUUAAAGGAGGCGAGCUUUAGCUGGGGCUCAUGUUUUCAGAACUUUCCGUCCUUCCAUGGCUGGCAACACGGGGGCAGCCAGGAUGGAGAAAGAGGAAAGAAGGGAGUCAAAUGCUUCCGGGUCAUGCCCUCCUCCCCAGUGACCCUCCAGCCAGGUUCCACCUCCUAACAGCCAUUCAGCUAAGGAUCACUGUGGACUAAUCCCCCGUGAUCCAACCCCAUCCAGAAGCCCCGCCUCUGAACACAUGAGGCUCUUGGAGGACACUAGAGAUCAAAGCCACACAGCCACGCUGUCAGGGUUCGGCCUCUUUUCAUCUGAGAAGACACCUUGUGUUCCAUUUCUAUUGCUGCAUGACAGGUGCUACAGACUGGUGCCCUAAAAUGCAUCUCUUACCCACUGGCUUCUUGGCUCAGAAGGCUGAGCCCAGAUGAGCAGGGUCCCCUUCUCAGGACCUCCCAAGUGUGUAUACACUCAAGGUGUCAGCCAGGCUGUCAGUUUGGUGACUUGCCUGGGGAAGAAUUUGCUUCAAGCUCCUGCGGGUGGUUGACAGCAGUCACUGUCUUGUACUGUAUAACUCGGGGCAGCCGGAGAGACGGUGUCUGACCUCAGGGAGCUCUCCACAUGUUUUACAGGCUUUCACCUGAUUAAGCCAGGCCCACCCAGGACGAUCUACCUUUUUUUUUUUUUUUUUUUGUACCAGAGAUAGAACUUAUGACCUAGUGCUUGCCAGGCAGGCACUUAUGCCGCUGAGCUAAAUCUCUAGCCCAGUCUACUUUUUGAGUAAACUCAGAGAUCAACUAACUUAGCUGCUGAACCUGCAGCCUAAUUUCGCCUUUGCCAUCGUCCAUUGGCUGGAAGCCAUUAGUAGAGCAGGGUCACACUCAAGGGCAGGAGACCUGCAGGGCACAUAUCAGGGCUUGGGGCCGGGUCCAUCUGCCAAGGUGCCAGCAUGUCUGUUGGAUAAAUAGCCAAGUGAGGGAAUAAACAACGCCUGCAUAAUGGACCAAUGGCUUCACUUGUGCCAGACAGAAAAGGAACAGGACGACACUUUGGCUGUGUUUUCUUCUGCACAUCCCACUUCUCAUCCUGGAGAUCCUCAACUCUGCAUCCACCAGGUCCACGCAGGCUGGGAACAAAGAGCCCCGAACAAAGAAGCCACAAGGAACAAGCAGGAAGCCCGUAGAUCAUGCGCAGCCUCGAUGUCCGAGCCCCGCUGAAGUGCCGACAGUGUUUUUCUGUUCAGAGGAUCGCGGUAAUGGGGAACACAUUUUUAAUAAACACGUGCAGCAUCGGGGUGUCUGGUGGUGGUGACUCCCUCACACCCACACAGUAGGUAUUGAUUACUGACCUGCAGCUGCGUCUCCUCGGGACCGUAAGUCAUGUUCCUCCCGGCUGUUUGAAAACCGUCCCGUGCCGCGGUUCCUUGUGGGCUUUUUCGUGGAAGUCCUUGGGGGUUUGGUUAUUUGCAUCUUAUGGGGAGAGGGUGGAAUGUGGGCCCAAAGCAAAGCACAGUGGUGAGACGUGCUGAGCGCCGUGGGCCUGCCAGAUUCCUGAGGCUUACUGUCCAUUACUGAUCCCUCUGCACGUGCCAUCCCGGGGACUUUGCUAAGCACUUUCUGUAGACAGACAAUGCUCAGUCUCUCAUCAACCCAGACAUGGGUACUUCUCUUAUUCCCCGGGUAUCUAUGAAGACAUAAGGAGUGGAAAAUUCAGCACCCUGCCCAGGGACUCAGUAUUCCCA